GCCAUGCGCGUCUAAUGCCAUCAUUACCGAGCGAGUAUAUUUAGUUUGAGAUUGGCAUAGGUCGCGAGAAGCUUUGCUAGUUGUUAUCCGUAUUCUACGCAUGUGGCCUCUAUUAUACAUUUUCAAAUUCAAAACGACGAUUAACGUAUUAGAUUGAUUUUGAUUUAUUUCGAAAUUGUGUAAAAACUUAGUUGAAGAAGGAUUUCGAGUGAAAAUUUCGAUGGCGCCAAGUAGUUGAAAGACGAUGACGAUUCAUGUCGAGGACGUGGUUGGUGAUUGGCCGAGAUCCUCGGGUUUAAUAAUUGGCCUACUGGCUGCACAGCCAGUGCAUAUACUACUGUAAUACGUUAGUAUGCGUAUAGAGAGUGUUGAGCAGCUGAGUAGUGCAUGAACGUAAUGUAUCCUCUCUCGUAUGAGAGCACGUUUGCACCCGACCUAUCUCAAGCUUCGUCAUCGAGAACUUGAGGUUACGCUAGGUUGAAUAAGAAAAAGAAACAAAAUCAACAUCAUCGAAUGAUCUUCCUUCCGCUUAAAAAGAGAGAGAACAAAAAUGACAAGAAGAAGAAGAAGAAGAAGAAGAAGAAGAAUCUUCACGUAGCAGAGUUUUCUAAAGAACGAUCAAGAUGACGAGGAGGAACGAGAGAUGAUGCAAAAAGGGGGGUUGGAUAGGCACAUAAUCUAAAGGUAACGAUAAUGAUCGGUCAUUUGAAUAGAACAAGGAAAUGGAAAUAGGCAAAUAGAGGAAGAGGACAACACUCGUUGAAUAUUCUCGUUCGAUGUUAUUUCGAAAGUCCAUACACUUUCUCUCCUCGGGCUAGCGAGUUUGAAAUACUCCGAGAACAUUUCCUUCCUCGAUCGGAGUUCCCGGCACAUCCGUUACCAACUUCCGUAUUAUAAGAAUUGUAGUUUUUUUUUGUAAAAUUUGAAAAGUAUAUAAUUUUGGAUGUAAGCAACGAUCGAGAAAUUUGGGGAUUGUCGUAGGUCGGGGUUCGUCGUCAGGAGGACCGGUAGUUCCGGUCGAGACACGUGGUCAACCUCGAGAUCGCAUGGAAGAUUCAAUUUUCGCGCGAGUCCUUUUUAUCAAAGUACGAUUGCAAACGUCAUCAUCGUCAUCAUCGUCAUCAUCGUCAUCAUUGUCAUCGUCGUCGUCGUCGUCGUCGUCGUCAAAGUUGUCAUCAUGUCAUCACAUACACAAUCACCACUGUUACACCGAUAAUAACUGUUAUUAUCAAAGAUCACAACUUUGAUGGUAAAAUGUUAUAGACACACACAAAAUAAUAUUAUUAAUUUAAUAACAACAACAACAACAACAUUUAUUGGCGUUUGCAAGAAGGGGGAGAGAAAAUGAAUUUUGUAAUUUUAAUAUGUGUGUGAAUAUAAUGCGUAAAUUUAUGCGUAGGCGUAAAAGCGCGCGCGCGCUUUUUUUUUUUUUGAUAAUCUUUAUAAAUGUGUUUACAUGUUAAUAGAGAGUUGUUUUUGUUCUUUGAACGAAUGUGUUUAGUAAGAGCAUUUAUCUAUCUAUCUAUCUAUUUAUCUAUCUAUCUAUCUGUCUGUCUGUCUGUCUGUCUGUCUGUCUUUAUUUGUAGUGUUGAGGUUGCGCGCGCGUUGCCUCGUCGUCCCGCGAGGUGUAAACCGAGUGUCGAGCUGAGUUGGCUUCGACAAAGUAGGGCGACGACUGGGACAGCGGCCACGGGCACCAGCGCUCACCGACGAGGAACCCGUGCGCCGUGCGGUGGAGGAACUGUGGAAGUGGAAGAGAGAACCCUCCGAGUUAAACGGCGGCGUUGCUGUAUACUCUACGUUCUCCAGUAGGGGAACCUCCAACUCUGCUGCAACAUCAUCGUCGUCGUCGUCGUCGUCGUCGUCGUCGUCGUCGGAACUAGCUUGCAAACCUAGCUUACAACCUAGUCAACCUAGCCAGAUCGCCAGUUGAACGUUGCAUCUUCAACUUUCCUUCUAUCUUUUUAUUUUUCUUUUUUUUUUGUUUUGUUAUUUUUCUCUCUUUGGACAACCAACACCUAGGUUGAAAUCUUGGAAAUACAUCUUAUCAGGUCCAAAAUGAAAUUCGUUGUUGAUAGAAAAUAUUGAUUACAUUUAAUGCUUGCUGAGAGAGUUAAAAAAGAGAAAGCCAGGAGGAGUUGGACUCAGGAGGAGACUUGAGAGAGUUCUUCUCUCAGUCAACCUAUACGCGUUCUUGUUCCUCUUUUACGGUCUAGGCCACGAUGUUCGAUAACCGAAAAACUUUCACCUUCCGAGGAACGUUAGGUAUAUCGAUGGAGUCCGUGACCAAAGAUCAGCAAUACUAUUCGUAUGUAAAGCCUUUAUAACUCCUUUGCCUUCUCUUGAUCUUGAUCUUUCGAUUUGUUUCGUUACGUAAAAUGGAAAAGAGAAAUAUCACGGUGUGAUUAUUGGAUACUACUUAAGAUAGAAGAUAUUAUUUAUUUAUGAUUUAAAAUNGUAGUUGGUAAGCUUAGAAAAUUGCGCGUGCUGAUGUGCGCAGGACGCGAAGGCCGAAUGCUGCGACCCCCGGAGGAGAGGAGGACUCUUUAGAAUCUACUACGUCACACAGAUCCUCUCCGCGAGUCGUCGCCCUGACCUCAAAAGAGAUGACUGACCCGCAAGCUCGCUGCUUUUCUAUUUGAUAAGAUAAUAAACUGGGAUUGGACGGAUGAAUCU
RNAcentral lists this long non-coding RNA (2676 nucleotides) under Polistes dominula (European paper wasp). Its description in RNAcentral is "uncharacterized LOC107071192, transcript variant X1". The record is from RNAcentral. Lineage: Eukaryota; Metazoa; Arthropoda; Insecta; Hymenoptera; Vespidae.